UGUGCUACAGAUAUAAAAUGCGUAAAAGAUGAUGCAACAGUACACUAGAAAAUUUGGAAUUUAUGUCAAUGAAGUUUCAUAGUGUCUUUGAAAAGUCUGUUUUUUUCUUUUUCCCCCCAUUCUAAACUAAAUGGUAUUGUGAAAUGUCACAUUAGGCACUAAAAGCAGCUGCUACACAAUCUUCCUCCCUGGACUCUAAAAAUCAGAAUUCAGUUUACAAAAGUGGUACUAGGCAGCAAAGACAACAAAAUGUUUUAGAGGGCAAUUUACAGAGCACCUAAACUGUGUCAGGCACUGUACUGAGGAGCUUCACAUAAAGUAACUCGUUUGUAUUCUCAUUUUCAGAUUUGGAAAUGGAAUUUCCAAACAUAUCUUAAUUUUCUCAAGGUCAAGAUAUAGAUCCCAAUUGGUCUGCUCUUUGUAUUCUUGCCUUUGUACAUUUCAUUAUGCAUUCAUUCACAUAUUUAUUAACUGUCUACUACAUGCCAAGUACUUAUGCUAGACACAGAUGCUACAAAAAUUCCUAAGAUACAGUUGCUUCCUUAAGGGGCUCUUUAGUAAACACAGAAUCAGACAAGUAAAUAUAUAAUGAUACAAUGUGAUAAGUGCUCCAACAGCAAGGACUCUCAGAACAGGAGGGAUAUCUAAGCCAGUUUUGAAGGGUGGAACCUGGGAUGAGGCAAUGGUCACAGUCAUCUGACAGCACAAUCCUUAGAACUCUAUCCCCACAGAAUGGCAACAGGGAAUCUGUUGGGUGGGGGGAGAGGGGGUACAGGGAGACAGGCAACUGAGAGAUAGGAAGGAAAAACAACCGACUUUAAGGGGUGAGAGGAGGAGGAAGAAGGAUGAACACAGGACAGCUUCCAUGAUUGUGGCUUGGGGUCCUGAAUAGGUGUAAUUCUGCUUUAGACACACUGGUAUGAAAUGCCUGUGAUAGAAUCAUAUGUAAAUGUUUAAAAGUCAGCUGGAUAUACUGGUUCAUAGCUCAGCUUAGGAGAGAUCUACUGUGGAGAUAUCGAAGUCAUCAUGGAUUUCUGUUUGAAGGAAUGGCUAAGAUCAUCCACGGAGAAUGCCAAGUGAGAAGACCACUGAAAGAAACCAGGGGACAAUAACAUUCAAGGCACAGGCAGACGAAAAGAUGCUUCAGAAGAAAACUGAGGAGAAGCUGCUCUAAAGGAAAGAGAAGACAGUAGAGGUAGGCACCACAGCAAUCACUGAGAAGAAUCCCCAAAACAAGUAGCAGUCAAACGCCAGAUCCAUCACAGGACAAGCAAGGUAAUUUAAGGGUAUCCUCUGACUUAGCAGUAAGGAGAUGGCAAGAAUGGUUCCAGUGGGCUAGUUGAAGAAUAAAGAAGUAGAAACAAAGUAUCACAUUUUCUAAAAUAGAAUUGGAAAGGCGUGUAAGGAGACCAGCUAUAAGGGAGUAGAGAAGGCAAAAGAAGAGAGGAGCUGUUUUUGAAGCAGGAUGGAAGGAGACAGAUGAUGCCAAGGAAAGGAAAGAAAAAAGAGACUGGGGGAGGGAGUGGCAGGGAACUGACAGCAUAGACAGCCGCUGCCUCAUGUUUAACAAAGAAUUUUGCUCAGAGCAGAGGGAGAGGAGGAAAGUGAAGACAUGACAGAGAGAUGAAAGCCUGAAAAGUACAAACAUUAAGAAAUGUCUGAAGGACUUUGAGCAGUCCAGGAAACUAAUGAAGAGGCGACCUCGACUUUAUAAAGCUUUAAGCCCACAGGAGGGCAUGGUUUCUCUCCAAAGAUUAUCAGCAUCUCGUCCAAAGUAGUAAUACCUUCCAGUUGGUUCCAAUAGAAGGUCCAAAUCUCUCCAUUACACCACAAACUGAGUAUCACUAUCCCAAUCAUACAUCUGGAUUCUAGCUCUUUAGCAGUCAACUCAGGAGACUUACCAUGGAAGCACAGAAUAUUUUAUAAGUGAGCUUACGCUAGUUUUAAAUAGGCAAGUUCCUACCUUGGAAAACCUGGUUUGAUUAAUAUCAAAGGGAGCUCCAUAAUACACAGAACAAGAAGGGAACCAAUGACAGCACUGUGUGACAUUUUAGCCACUUGUGAUACCACUCUCUGGGUAAGGAAAACUAUAGAAACAAUAACUCAUGAAGCAAAUUUCUAGCCUUUUGAUAUUUUUUUUUUUCCCACAUAGGAUCCACAUUUAACAUGUGGCUUGACCUCGUGGCCCUGAGAUUAAAAGUUGCAUGUUCUACCAACUGAGCCAGCCAGGUGCCCUUUUAAAUAGAACUCUCAAACAAGGCUAAAGACAGUUGUGGCAUUCACAUUCUCCAAUGUCUCCCCCAAGAAUAUCACCCCAAGAACACCUAAUAAAUUUCCCUUUAGUAAAUCAAACUCAAACUUUACAGCUUACUUUAUAUAUUGCAGUUUUUUCCAAAAACACAAGUUGUGUUAUUUACAAGUAAAAUAUGCAUAUAUAAUGCACCUCAUUUAAUGUAGAGGUCGUAUAGAAACCUUGAAUAUCUGGGUCAUAUCAGAGCACCCCCAAAUAAGCAAAGAACACUCACAUACCACAGAAAUAGAAAGACUCAAAUCCAGGCAUUAAGGACUGUUCUCAUUAUAAACCCCUCAAUUUCUCAUACAGAGCCAGCUUGUUCUUACUGUGAACAUAAUUUUACCGAGUUUGGUCAUCUGGUUUUCUUUUUAAUAAACAGAACAUUAGAAAGAGUAAGGCAGAAGGGAUCAGUAUUCUGUUACAGACAGGCACACAGUUGAUCUAAAACUCAAGAGAAAAAAAAUUUAAAACCCAUAAAGAGCAAAACUAAAUACAAGAGCAUUAGCAGGACUGGGCCAUUUUGUCAAAUUACAGAGUCCUAUAAACAUUAUCCCCUGAAGGCAUCUCUGCAUUAAGAUACAGAGUAAUUAUGAACAUACAAAAGGACAGCCCAGAAAAGAUAAAAUUAAGUGCUAAAAAUUUAGCAUAAGAUGUAAAUGGGUAAUAUUUAGAAUAACUGUCAUCAAAGAGACUAGAAUAAAAACAAGUUUUGCUGCUGCAGAGACUGGGAUCACUUCAAUCGAUUGGAUCCCCAUUAUGUGCCAGGUACUGUACAAGGGGUUUUGCCAAUAUGAUUACAUUUACCUUUCAAAACAUUCUUUUUUGAUUGGUCACCACUUUAAAAAGGAAAUUGUAUAUGAAAACUGAGGCAGACAGAUUAAAUAGCGGAGCAUGAUUAGACCCAGGUCUCUGUGAGUUCAAAGCUUUUUAAUAAAAUUUCCAGAUACAGAAAUAUAACUUACAAUUCCAGAUAAAUAAGGCAUUACUAUACCUAAUUAUUCUGCUCUGACCUCCAUUAUACUAUUAAAUUCUUAUAUUAGUUCUUAGCCAUUUGAAAAGCUAACUUUGAUGAUGUCAUUUAUCUUUUAAUUAUUUGGGGGGCCUUUUCAUGGUCUAUAAUCAUAUUUCUCACAAGGAAAUCCAUAAAUACUACUGAGAACCUCAGAGUUGAUAUCUCAUAGCAUUAAUUAAAAAGAAACUUAAAGAUGCCUUAAAAGUUUGAAGCAAUAAGUGCCACUUCCUAAAUGAGUCCUGUGUGUCACACAGUGUGUUAAUAUGCUCUAUAUACAUAUUAUUCAUCUACAUACAUUUGAUACCCACACCUGAUACUGAGGUGUUCACAUAUUUUCAUUGUACAGAAACUAGCCUACAGUUGGUUAGGAAAAAGACAGAUUUUUAAAAGGCCCAUAAGACUUUCAGACCAGUGCUGCUAAUAGUGACUUACUAUAUGGUCUCCCUUAUUGUAAGAUGAAAAUAUCAAGGUUCAAAGAACUUAAGUAGCUCUUUGUCACUUGAAUAAUAAGGAUGGAAAGAACACAAUCAUUCCACAAAUACUCAAAUUUUCUUUAGACAAUACCGCCUUCUCCCAAAAUGAAUUAAAUCCAAAGUUAAAGACACAAAAGCUCCAAAAUGCCAUCAGAGAAAAGGGGUCACAAGUGUUAGAUAGCAUCCUACAAUAAUAACUGCUGAUUUGUACUCAGGGCUUACUAUGUGUCAGGAACUAUGCUCAGCAUUUUGCUUACAUUAUGUUAUUUUAUCCUCAUGACAAAUUUAAAAGUCUAAAAGUCUAAUUAAACUUCAGGCUAAUCUACUCUUGCACAUCCAGAUUUUCACAGAGAAGUAAUCAUGAGCCUGUAUUUUUAAGCAGUUUAAAAAUUAGCAUAGGUUGGCUUCUCCAGAAAUUAAAUUACUUCUAAUUUAGCGUUUACCUUAAAACUAUACAUCUCUAAAACAAAGACGUUAUUGACACAUCCAGCAGGUGCCACAGAAGAGAUGUUAAUGAGAUUUGGUUUUACGAUGUGUUAAGUAUUACCUGAAUCCCUAGACACCAUAAUUUGUUCAUUUUAAAAAUGUUCUACAAUGCUAUUCAGAUUUAGAUCACUACAUCAUGCCUCAUUUAAAUAAGCUAGAAUAUGACAUCACCAAAAAUAGAAAUGCUGAGGGGAUGUUUUCAAAUAGUAUUGGAAGAAUCAACCAUUUAAAAUGCUUAAUGAACAGGGGCCGCUGGAUGAAUCAGUCUGUUAAGCAUUCGACUCUUCACUUCAGCCCAGAUCAUGGUCUCAUGGCUCAUGGGUUUGAUCCUACAAACCCAUGAAUGCCUGCUUGAGAUUCUCGCUCUCGUUCUCCCUCUCUCUCUGCCCGUCCCCCGCUCAUGCUCUCUCACACACGUGCUCACUUUCAAAAUAAACAAACUUAAAAAAAAGUUCAAUGAACAAUUAUGUUUUCCUGUGAUAGUUAAUGAAAUUCUAUUGGCUUUCUGGAAGUUUGUUUUAAAUGAAUUUCAGAUCAUUUACAUAUUUUUUCUCCAAAUAAAAUACAAAAUUUGUGUUGUACAUAACAAAAUUGGCAUUAAAAAUUUUUUAACAUGAA
Molecule: long non-coding RNA, 4882 nt
Organism: Neofelis nebulosa (Clouded leopard)
Lineage: Eukaryota; Metazoa; Chordata; Mammalia; Carnivora; Felidae
Exons: 2
Source: RefSeq, a predicted model, not a curated record